This 81-nucleotide transfer RNA is filed under the name Nematocida ausubeli. Its description in RNAcentral is "tRNA-Ser (TGA) (tRNA-Ser-TGA-1-1)". It matches the Rfam family "tRNA". Rfam says of the family: Transfer RNA (tRNA) molecules are approximately 80 nucleotides in length. Their secondary structure includes four short double-helical elements and three loops (D, anti-codon, and T loops). Further hydrogen bonds mediate the characteristic L-shaped molecular structure. tRNAs have two regions of fundamental functional importance: the anti-codon, which is responsible for specific mRNA codon recognition, and the 3' end, to which the tRNAs corresponding amino acid is attached (by aminoacyl-tRNA synthetases). tRNAs cope with the degeneracy of the genetic code in two manners: having more than one tRNA (with a specific anti-codon) for a particular amino acid; and 'wobble' base-pairing, i.e. permitting non-standard base-pairing at the 3rd anti-codon position. Lineage: Eukaryota; Fungi; Microsporidia. The record is from Rfam by way of RNAcentral.
GUCAGUGUGGCCGAGUGGUUAAGGCGGUUGACUUGAAAUCAGUUGGGCGUGCCCGCACAGGUUCGAAUCCUGUCGCUGACG